UACGGGAGGCAGCAGUGGGGAAUAUUGCACAAUGGGCGAAAGCCUGAUGCAGCUAUGCCGCGUGUAUGAAGAAGGCCUUAGGGUUGUAAAGUACUUUCAUCGGGGAGGAAAAAACAAAACUAAUAAUUUUAUUUCUUGACGUUACCCGAAAAAGAAGCACCGGCUAACUCCGUGCCAGCAGCCGCGGUAAUACGGAGGGUGCUAGCGUUAAUCAGAAUUACUGGGCGUAAAGAGCACGUAGGUGGUUUUUUUAAAGUCAGAUGUGAAAUCCCUGGGCUUAACCUAGGAACUGCAUUUUGAAACUGAAAUACUAGAGUAUCGUAGAGGGAGGUAGAAUUCUAGGUGUAGCGGUGAAAUGCGUAGAUAUCUGGAGGAAUACCUGUGGCGAAAGCGGCCUCCUAAACGAAUACUGACACUGAGGUGCGAAAGCGUGGGGAGCAAACAGGGAUUAGAUACCCGU
This 460-nucleotide ribosomal RNA is filed under the name uncultured bacterium. RNAcentral describes it as "bacterial SSU rRNA". It matches the Rfam family "Bacterial small subunit ribosomal RNA", at positions 340 to 789 of the family's 1533-position model. The record is from RNAcentral.